AACCAAUCAGAAUAUAAUCGCGGACGCUUCACUUCGUUGGCCAUUUUGUAUUCCUAACCAAUCACGCUUCUCAUAUUAGGAGAAUAUGAAUCAAAGGAAGCACCACUAACUCCUGUUGCUUACGUCACACGAGGAGUUAGUGGAACCUCCUAUCACUUUAUAUUUGCCUAAUACAGAACAAAAUGUGCGAAAGGAAAAUAGAUUCAAUUAAUUUGUCCUCUACCGGGACUUGGAUAUGCGGAUUCAGUUUGAAUACGAAGGCGGCCGAGCUCAUGGACAUCACCAGAGGAAUUGUCAUGCAGUUGACAGGUUGACAGUCGUCGUUAGAGAGACGCGGAUGCGGGACGCAGUCUAGAAUUGUACUUUCGCGUUGACAGGAAUAUCUUUCAGUCAGGAUUUCUAAAAACAGUGGAGACAGCCUCCGGAAUUGCUAUGGUACCAGCGUCAGUGAUAAAAGUGACAGUGAUAAAUUUAUAAGUAAUACUUCAGCAAUCCUCUUUGUGAAUUAUUAUUUAUUUACAAUUAACAGUUACAUAUUUAUUUACAA
Ceratina calcarata is the source of this 547-nucleotide long non-coding RNA. RefSeq lists it as uncharacterized. The transcript has 3 exons. Lineage: Eukaryota; Metazoa; Arthropoda; Insecta; Hymenoptera; Apidae. The record is from RefSeq and is a predicted model, not a curated record.